RNAcentral lists this ribosomal RNA (252 nucleotides) under uncultured Chloroflexota bacterium. RNAcentral describes it as "uncultured Chloroflexi bacterium partial 16S ribosomal RNA". It matches the Rfam family "Bacterial small subunit ribosomal RNA", at positions 1129 to 1382 of the family's 1533-position model. The record is from RNAcentral. Lineage: Bacteria; Bacillati; Chloroflexota.
UGUAAAGUUUUCUAGCGAUACUGCCCGUAAACGAGGAGGAAGUGGGGAUGACGUCAAGUCACGCACUUGGCCCUUACGCCUUGGGCUACACACACGCUACAAUGGGUUAUACAACGGGUUGCGAAAGAGCGAUCUGGAGCUAAUCCCUAAAAUCACUCUCAGUUCGGAUUGUAGGCUGAAACUGCCUGCAUGAAGUUGGAGUUGCUAGUAACCGCAGGUCAGCACACUGCGGUGAAUACGUUCUCGGGCCUU